RNAcentral lists this ribosomal RNA (919 nucleotides) under uncultured bacterium. RNAcentral describes it as "bacterial SSU rRNA". It matches the Rfam family "Bacterial small subunit ribosomal RNA", at positions 74 to 976 of the family's 1533-position model. The record is from RNAcentral.
UGGUAGCAAUAUCAAGGAUGUCUAGUGGCGUAAGGGUGCGUAACACGUGGGCAAUCUGCCGAGAAGUGGGGGAUAGCUCGCCGAAAGGCGAAUUAAUACCGCAUGUGGUUAGUGAAGACAUCUUCACGAUACCAAAGCCGGGGCAACCUGGCGCUUCUUGAUGACCCCGCGGCCUAUCAGCUAGUUGGUGAGGUAACGGCUCACCAAGGCUAUGACGGGUAGCUGGUCUGAGAGGACGACCAGCCACACUGGAACUGAGACACGGUCCAGACACCUACGGGUGGCAGCAGUCGAGAAUUUUUCUCAAUGGGGGAAACCCUGAAGGAGCGACGCCGCGUGGAGGAUGAAGGUCUUCGGAUUGUAAACUCCUGUCAUUUGGGAACAAGUUGCAUCGGUUAACUGCCGAUGCAUUGAUAGUACCAGAAGAGGAAGAGACGGCUAACUCUGUGCCAGCAGCCGCGGUAAUACAGAGGUCUCAAGCGUUGUUCGGAUUCAUUGGGCGUAAAGGGUGCGUAGGUGGCGGGGUAAGUCUGGUGUGAAAUCUCGGGGCUCAACCCCGAAACUGCACUGGAUACUGCCUUGCUUGAGUACUGGAGAGGAGAUUGGAAUUUACGGUGUAGCAGUGAAAUGCGUAGAUAUCGUAAGGAAGACCAGUGGCGAAGGCGAAUCUCUGGACAGUUACUGACACUGAGGCACGAAGGCCAGGGGAGCAAACGGGAUUAGAUACCCCGGUAGUCCUGGCAGUAAACGGUGCGCGUUUGGUGUGGGAGGAUUCGACCCCUUCUGUGCCGGAGCUAACGCGUUAAACGCGCCGCCUGGGGAGUACGGUCGCAAGAUUAAAACUCAAAGAAAUUGACGGGGGCCCGCACAAGCGGUGGAGUAUGUGGCUUAAUUCGAUGCAACGCGAAGAACCUUACCU